UCUGACCGUGCAAAGGUAGCAUAAUCAUUUGCCUUAUAAUUGAAGGCUAGUAUGAAUGGUUUGACAAGAAUAUGACUGUCUCUUUAUGAUUAAAUAGAAUUUUAUAUACAAGUGAAGAAGCUUGUAUCUAAUUAAAAGACAAGAAGACCCUAUCGAGCUUUAAAUAAAUUAAGAAAUUAAAUUCAAUUAAUAACACUAAAAAAUUAAUUCUUAAAAAUUUUAGUUGGGGCGACUGAGGAACAAAAAAAGCUUCCUUUUAACUAGUAUAAUUCACACAAGUAUUGAUCCAAAAUAUUUUGAUUAAAGAAAUUAGUUACCGUAGGGAUAACAGCAUUAUCUUUUUUAAGAGUUCUUAUCGAAAAAAAGGUUUGUGACCUCGAUGUUGGACCAGAAUAUCCCAAAGAUGCAGCAGUCUUUAAAGGUUGGUCUGUUCGACCAUUAAAAUUCUACGUGAUCUGAG
Molecule: ribosomal RNA, 460 nt
Filed under: Manaria clandestina
Lineage: Eukaryota; Metazoa; Mollusca; Gastropoda; Neogastropoda; Buccinidae
Description: partial large subunit ribosomal RNA
Rfam family: Bacterial large subunit ribosomal RNA
Source: RNAcentral